UGGAUCAAUAUUGAGGACUAGUGGCACAUGAGUCAAGGAGGAACAAAAAUGCUGAUCUAGAACUCUGAGGUCCAA
This is a small nucleolar RNA of Equus asinus (donkey), 75 nucleotides long. NCBI's taxonomy places the organism in Eukaryota, Metazoa, Chordata, Mammalia, Perissodactyla, Equidae. The record is from Ensembl.